This 474-nucleotide long non-coding RNA is filed under the name Heterocephalus glaber (naked mole-rat). Its description in RNAcentral is "lncRNA (ENSHGLG00100047637.1)". The record is from RNAcentral. Lineage: Eukaryota; Metazoa; Chordata; Mammalia; Rodentia; Bathyergidae.
CAGAGGUCUGGGCUGCGAUCCACAGCCACCAUGUGUGCCGGCCUUGGGCGUGCAGCAGGCUCCACCCAGCCUGUUUCUUCGCACACGCAGUAGAGAAACUGUGCGGACUCCCACCCAGGAGUUGAUUCAACAACAGACCAGGAUCAGAGGCUGCAGGUACCAAAACCAAGGAGCGCUUUCCUUUGGGGUUGUGAUGUAAUGGAUUUCUUGCUCCUGGUCCCAGUCACAAAGCCUCGAAAAGCCACCGCCUGAGAUCACGAACCCUGGCCCUUUUUUUGCCAGCAGGAGCGGGAAUUGGCUGCAGCUCCCCUCCCGAAGCUCCUUGCCUACACACCUGGCCACCUGCUCAGGGGCCCCAUCCCAGCAGCUGCACACACUCAUGCCUCUGUGUCCUUCAAACCCUCCCUUCUCUCGUACUCUCUUCGUCCAAACCUGCCUGGAUCCAGGGCCGCCUGUGUAAAUGUUGCACUGUCC